CCGUAACUAUAACGGUCCUAAGGUAGCGAAAUUCCUUGUCGGGUAAGUUCCGACCUGCACGAAUGGCGUAAUGAUGGCCAGGCUGUCUCCACCCGAGACUCAGUGAAAUUGAACUCGCUGUGAAGAUGCAGUGUACCCGCGGCAAGACGGAAAGACCCCGUGAACCUUUACUAUAGCUUGACACUGAACAUUGAGCCUUGAUGUGUAGGAUAGGUGGGAGGCUUUGAAGUGUGGACGCCAGUCUGCAUGGAGCCGACCUUGAAAUACCACCCUUUAAUGUUUGAUGUUCUAACGUGGACCCGUUACCCGGGUUGCGGACAGUGUCUGGUGGGUAGUUUGACUGGGGCGGUCUCCUCCUAAAGAGUAACGGAGGAGCACGAAGGUUGGCUAAUCCUGGUCGGACAUCAGGAGGUUAGUGCAAUGGCAUAAGCCAGCUUGACUGCGAGCGUGACGGCGCGAGCAGGUGCGAAAGCAGGUCAUAGUGAUCCGGUGGUUCUGAAUGGAAGGGCCAUCGCUCAACGGAUAAAAGGUACUCCGGGGAUAACAGGCUGAUACCGCCCAAGAGUUCAUAUCGACGGCGGUGUUUGGCACCUCGAUGUCGGCUCAUCACAUCCUGGGGCUGAAGUAGGUCCCAAGGGUAUGGCUGUUCGCCAUUUAAAGUGGUACGCGAGCUGGGUUUAGAACGUCGUGAGACAGUUCGGUCCCUAUCUGCCGUGGGCGCUGGAGAACUGAGGGGGGCUGCUCCUAGUACGAGAGGACCGGAGUGGACGCAUCACUGGUGUUCGGGUUGUCAUGCCAAUGGCACUGCCCGGUAGCUAAAUGCGGAAGAGAUAAGUGCUGAAAGCAUCUAAGCACGAAACUUGCCCCGAGAUGAGUUCUCCCUGAGACUUUAGGUCUCCUGAAGGAACGUUGAAGACGACGACGUUGAUAGGCCGGGUGUGUAAGCGCAGCGAUGCGUUGAGCUAACCGGUACUAAUGAACCGUGAGGCUUAACCUU
RNAcentral lists this ribosomal RNA (997 nucleotides) under Salmonella enterica. RNAcentral's name for it is "partial 23S ribosomal RNA". It matches the Rfam family "Bacterial large subunit ribosomal RNA", at positions 1934 to 2925 of the family's 2925-position model. Lineage: Bacteria; Pseudomonadati; Pseudomonadota; Gammaproteobacteria; Enterobacterales; Enterobacteriaceae. The record is from RNAcentral. RNAcentral also lists the same sequence under 3 other names.